This 1025-nucleotide long non-coding RNA is filed under the name Rhinolophus ferrumequinum (greater horseshoe bat). RNAcentral's name for it is "lncRNA (ENSRFEG00010013694.1)". The record is from RNAcentral. Lineage: Eukaryota; Metazoa; Chordata; Mammalia; Chiroptera; Rhinolophidae.
GGAGCCAACGUCCGGUGGACACUUCGAACAGUGCCCCCCACUUGGGGCUGGUUUACACCGGGCCGUCUUAUCGAGCCCUCCCUGGCGCCCAGGUUCUGAGGACCGUGCGUACACCUGCUGUGUGCCAGCUCGUGCCGUGCGCCCGGGGAGGAGAAACACUGAGCUCCUGUCCUCCUGAGGGAGAGGACAGUAAACAGAUGAGAAUGACUCAGAGUCACAUUGUAAGAUUUGGUGAGCACUUAAUAUCUGUUAGGCGCCGGGCCGGGAGCUAGAUGCAGCAUUUCCUGUACUCUCAAUAACCCAUGAUGUUGUCUCCUCCUGAGCACCCCGCUCAGAGUUGCCCCCUCCCCCAGUCACUGUGACAUCACCCUGCUUUGUGUUCGCGGUGCCGGUCAUGGGCGAUGAACUUGCAGUCUGCGUCUCCCCCACCAGAAGACAAGCUCCUGAGGCCCAGACUUGCUUUGUUCACAGUAGACGCUCGUUUACUGAGUUACUGCUUGCUGAGGAAAUUAAGCUCCGUUACAGGCUUUUACUUACCUCCGCAGGGAGCCGCCUUAGAGGCCACGGAAGGACCCUGAAGCGAGCGGAGAGGGGCGCUAAGAUCCCCUCUAGAUGUCUUUCAGAGGCAACAUCCUACCCUGGUUAUCUGAAAGUUGAAGCGCUGAACUCCUCAGCGGCCUGUCAUCCCGUCAUCUCAGUGAUACAACUAAAAGGAACAGUAAGGAUACCUUCAUGGAACUCAGGGAAGUGAAGUGACUCGCCCAAGUUACACAGCGUGGCAGAGCCGAGCACCCUGCCCCUUCCACCCUCCUGACAGCCCAGGUCAGGGCGGGGUGGGGCUGGAGAAGACCCAGGUGUGGUCUAAGGGGGCGGGCAGGUGCGAUGGGUGGGGCUGGGGGGCGCGGCCAACCCGGGCAGAAGCUCCAGUGGAGCGCGCCCCUGACCUGCCCGUUCCCCUCCAAAGUCCUCCUAUUGAAAGUGGCUUUAAGAGAAGAGUCGCCACAGGCGCGUUAUGUCCUAAGAGC